This 309-nucleotide unclassified non-coding RNA is filed under the name Hevea brasiliensis (rubber tree). The record is from RNAcentral. Lineage: Eukaryota; Viridiplantae; Streptophyta; Magnoliopsida; Malpighiales; Euphorbiaceae.
GUUCAAAAGAAGUCCUUACAGGCAAGUUUAUUAUAGUUUCUUCACUUACAAAUCUGUUUCAACUGAGCUUUCUGUCUCACUUUGUGUCUGUUAUGCACGAGCACUAGUACAUGUGUGUUUUGAUUAUAACUCAUUUUUGAAUUUCUAAGUCAGAUAUUAUGGUUUGUACACUAUGUUUAUAGAAACAUAACGUUUUAUGAAACACUGGCAUGUCACUGAUUCAACAUUUAAUUUCUGCAGCUAUGUUUGGUCAGCUGCAGGGAAGCAGCCAGAUCUUGAGAAGCAUGUAGGUGUUGGUGGAUAUGGGUA